GACGAACGCUGGCGGCGUGCCUAAUACAUGCAAGUAGAACGCUGAAGGAGGAGCUUGCUCUUCUGGAUGAGUUGCGAACGGGUGAGUAACGCGUAGGUAACCUGCCUGGUAGCGGGGGAUAACUAUUGGAAACGAUAGCUAAUACCGCAUAACAGUAGAUGUUGCAUGACAUUUACUUAAAAGGUGCAAUUGCAUCACUACCAGAUGGACCUGCGUUGUAUUAGCUAGUUGGUGGGGUAACGGCUCACCAAGGCGACGAUACAUAGCCGACCUGAGAGGGGGAUCGGCCACACUGGGACUGCGACACGGCCCAGACUCCUACGGGAGGCAGCAGUAGGGAAUCUUCGGCAAUGGACGGAAGUCUGACCGAGCAACGCCGCGUGAGUGAAGAAGGUUUUCGGAUCGUAAAGCUCUGUUGUAAGAGAAGAACGAGUGUGAGAGUGGAAAGUUCACACUGUGACGGUAUCUUACCAGAAAGGGACGGCUAACUACGUG
RNAcentral lists this ribosomal RNA (495 nucleotides) under uncultured bacterium. RNAcentral describes it as "partial 16S ribosomal RNA". It matches the Rfam family "Bacterial small subunit ribosomal RNA", at positions 28 to 507 of the family's 1533-position model. The record is from RNAcentral.